This 497-nucleotide ribosomal RNA is filed under the name uncultured bacterium. Its description in RNAcentral is "partial 16S ribosomal RNA". It matches the Rfam family "Bacterial small subunit ribosomal RNA", at positions 28 to 507 of the family's 1533-position model. The record is from RNAcentral.
GAUGAACGCUGGCGGCGUGCCUAACACAUGCAAGUCGAGCGGACGGACGUGAAGCUUGCUUCUCAGGUGUUAGCGGCGGACAGGAGCGUAACCCGUGGAGAAGCUCCCUAUAAGAAUGGGAUAACUUCGAGAAACCGGACCUAAUACCGGAUAAUAUUAUCAACCGGAGGGGUCAAAAGUGACAGACGGGCUUGCUGUUACUGAUAGAGGGUACCGCGCUGCUUUAGCUAGUUGGUAAGGUAACGGCUUACCAAGGCAACGAUGCAUAGCCGACCUGAGAGGGUGAUCGGCCACACUGGAACUGAGACACGGUCCAGACUCCUACGGGAAGCAGCAGUAGGGAAUCUUCCGCAAUGGGCGAAAGCCUGACGGAGCAACGCCGCGUGAGUGAUGAAGGUCUUCGGAUCGUAAAACUCUGUUAUUAGGGAAGAACAUAUGUGUAAGUAACUGUGCACAUCUUGACGGUACCUAAUCAGAAAGCCACGGCUAACUACGUA